AUUGAACGCUGGCGGCAGGCCUAACACAUGCAAGUCGAACGAGUAGCGGACGGGUGAGUAAUGUAUGAGAAACUGCCCGAUGGAGGGGGAUAACUACUGGAAACGGUAGCUAAUACCGCAUACCCUCGGAUGUGCCCAGAUGGGAUUAGCUUGUAGGUGGUGUAAAGGCUCACCUAGGGGACGCUCCCUAGCUGGUCUGAGAGGAUGACCAGCCACCCUGGAACUGAGACACGGUCCAGCCUCCUACGGGAUGCAGCAGUGGGGAAUAUUGCACAAUGGGCGCAAGCCUGAUGCAGCCAUGCCGCGUGUAUGAAGAAGGCCUUCGGGUUGUAAAGUACUUUCAGCGAGGAGGCGUUACUCGCAGAAGAAGCACCGGCUAACUCCGUGCCAGCAGCCGCGGUAAUAC
RNAcentral lists this ribosomal RNA (406 nucleotides) under uncultured bacterium. RNAcentral describes it as "partial 16S ribosomal RNA". It matches the Rfam family "Bacterial small subunit ribosomal RNA", at positions 30 to 526 of the family's 1533-position model. The record is from RNAcentral.